Pogoniulus pusillus (Red-fronted tinkerbird) is the source of this 1264-nucleotide long non-coding RNA. RefSeq lists it as uncharacterized. The transcript is spliced from 2 exons. Lineage: Eukaryota; Metazoa; Chordata; Aves; Piciformes; Lybiidae. The record is from RefSeq and is a predicted model, not a curated record.
UUUACAAAAGUCCAGAUAGAUGACAUCUGUUGGUCUUCCCUUGUCCUCUGAUACAGUUACACCAUGGUAGAAAACUGCUGGAUUGGUGUGGGUAAGACUUGCCCUUGGUAAAGCCGUGCUGGCUGUCUUGAAUCACCUCCCUGUCCUACAUGUAUCCCAGUAUAGCUUCUUGUUCCAUGAUCCUCCCAGGCACAAAGUCUCCAGGGAUUUCUCUUUACUGCCAGGACUUUUCAAAUAUUAUGGGGAGUGACCUUGCAACUACUUCAGCCAAUUCUUUCAGAACUCUGAGAACUCCUUCCCAUGCAACAGGCAAAUUGCCUUAUGUGUGGCAGCAGAAUGAAAUCUAAUUUAAGAUGUGUUGAAGAUGAACCCAUGCUACAUUAUCGCCUUGAGCUUAGUCCAAUGCUCUCAGAUGAAGGUAUCUCUACAAAUUGUCUGCUUGAAAAAUAGCAUCAAGCUGGGUACAAACUGUGACUGGGUUUCUGAAAGCUAAAUUAAAACAGCUGGUAUCCAACUGUAGAAUUUUAAAAGCUGUUGCUCAGGUUGGCUGUUUGUAACAAGUGGGAUCUCUAUGAAGCCAGAGAAGAUCUAACUCUGAUCUCAGCACAGCUGAUCAAAACCUGUAUACUCAGGUUAAAACCCACUCACACCUUUCAAAACAGCAAAUUCUUGAUGUGUCAGAGAAAACAUAAUGGAAUGACUUUUUGCUGUAGCAGUCUGCCUGGAGUUUGUGACUGUGUGCAGCUCGUGGUCUGUGCUUCUCAGUGGAGUGAAGCAAGGAUCCAAACUUUUCAGGAUCCUGGAACUGCUGAAGUUGGAAUUAUCACCACAGUGGGAUGAAUGAACUUGCACAUUUCUAGCCAUAGAGAAAAGAGUGGUAUAGUGGCUAAACCAGGAGGUUGGAAACAAAACUGCCUUUCAGAUGAGUUCCUGGUCACCCUGCAAACUCUGUUCAAGAAAACAUCACCUAGAAAAGCAAAAUCUUACUAUGCUGCUUUCCUUUAGACUGAUUUGGGGGGUUUUGUGCUUGUUUUGUUGUUGUUGAUUUGGCUGUGUGGUUUUUUUUUUUUGUUCCUUUUGGGUGUGUUUUUUGUUGGGUUUGGUUUGCUUUUUGUUGCUGUUCAUUUGUUUUGGUUGGUUUCUUUGGGGUUUAAUUAAUACAUUUAAAAUGUAUGAUGUUUCUCAAAAACAGAGUAAUAGAACAGAAUAAGAAAGAACUUUCAUGUUCUCAUCAAAUAAAGAAAGAAUCCCAGGUGUUUUUAAA